UACGAAGGGGGGCUAGCGUUGCUCGGAAUUACUGGGCGUAAAGGGCGCGUAGGCGGCACUGUUAGUCAGGCGUGAAAAUUCCUGGGCUCAACCUGGGGACUGCGCUUGAUACGGCAGAGCUAGAGGAUGGAAGAGGCUCGCGGAAUUCCCAGUGUAGAGGUGAAAUUCGUAGAUAUUGGGAAGAACACCGGUGGCGAAGGCGGCGAGCUGGUCCAUUACUGACGCUGAGGCGCGACAGCGUGGGGAGCAAACAGG
This 255-nucleotide ribosomal RNA is filed under the name uncultured bacterium. RNAcentral's name for it is "partial 16S ribosomal RNA". It matches the Rfam family "Bacterial small subunit ribosomal RNA", at positions 524 to 776 of the family's 1533-position model. The record is from RNAcentral.